This 406-nucleotide ribosomal RNA is filed under the name uncultured bacterium. RNAcentral's name for it is "partial 16S ribosomal RNA". It matches the Rfam family "Bacterial small subunit ribosomal RNA", at positions 30 to 526 of the family's 1533-position model. The record is from RNAcentral.
AUUGAACGCUGGCGGCAGGCCUAACACAUGCAAGUCGAACGAGCGGCGGACGGGUGAGUAAUGUCUGGGAAACUGCCCGAUGGAGGGGGAUAACUACUGGAAACGGUAGCUAAUACCGCAUACUAUCGGAUGAACCCAUAUGGGAUUAGCUAGUAGGUGGGGUAACGGCUCACCUAGGCGACGAUCCCUAGCUGGUCUGAGAGGAUGACCAGCCACACUGGAACUGAGACACGGCCCAGACUCCUACGGGAGGCAGCAGUGGGGAAUAUUGCACAAUGGGCGCAAGCCUGAUGGAGCCAUGCCGCGUGUGUGAAGAAGGCCUUCGGGUUGUAAAGUACUUUCAGUGAGGAGGCGGUACUCACAGAAGAAGCACCGGCUAACUCCGUGCCAGCAGCCGCGGUAAUAC